AGAUUGAACGCUGGCGGCAUGCCUAACACAUGCAAGUCGAACGGGAGUAGCAAUACUCUAGUGGCGGACGGGUGAGGAAUACGUAGGAAUUUGCCCUUAAGUGGGGGAUAACCCGGGGAAACCCGGAUUAAUACCGCAUGACCUCGAAAGAGCAAAGUGGGGGAUCGCAAGACCUCACGCUUUUGGAGAAGCCUACGUCGGAUUAGCUAGUUGGUGAGGUAAUGGCUCACCAAGGCGACGAUCCGUAACUGGUCUGAGAGGAUGAUCAGUCACACCGGAACUGAGACACGGUCCGGACUCCUACGGGAGGCAGCAGUGGGAAUAGUUGGACAAGUGGCGCAAGCCUGAUCCAGCAAUGCGCGUGUGUAGAAGAAGGUCCUUGGUUAGUAAGCUAACGUUUAAGGUUA
RNAcentral lists this ribosomal RNA (407 nucleotides) under uncultured soil bacterium. RNAcentral describes it as "bacterial SSU rRNA". It matches the Rfam family "Bacterial small subunit ribosomal RNA", at positions 26 to 445 of the family's 1533-position model. The record is from RNAcentral.